Molecule: small nuclear RNA, 106 nt
Organism: Suncus etruscus (white-toothed pygmy shrew)
Lineage: Eukaryota; Metazoa; Chordata; Mammalia; Eulipotyphla; Soricidae
Source: RefSeq, a predicted model, not a curated record
GUGCUUGCUUCGGCAGCACAUAUACUAAAAUUGGAACGAUGCGAGAAGAUUAGUAUGGCCCCUGCACAAGGAUGAUACGCUAAUUCGUGAAACAUUCCAUAUUUAA